This 254-nucleotide ribosomal RNA is filed under the name uncultured bacterium. Its description in RNAcentral is "partial 16S ribosomal RNA". It matches the Rfam family "Bacterial small subunit ribosomal RNA", at positions 524 to 776 of the family's 1533-position model. The record is from RNAcentral.
UACGUAGGGUGCGAGCGUUGUCCGGAAUUAUUGGGCGUAAAGAGCUCGUAGGCGGUGUGUCACGUCGGCCGUGAAAACCUGCAGCUUAACUGUGGGCGUGCGGUCGAUACGGGCAUCACUGGAGUUCGGCAGGGGAGACUGGAAUUCCUGGUGUAGCGGUGAAAUGCGCAGAUAUCAGGAGGAACACCGGUGGCGAAGGCGGAUCUCUGGGCCUUACCUGACGCUCAGGCGCGAAAGCUAGGGGAGCGAACUGG